This 566-nucleotide ribosomal RNA is filed under the name uncultured bacterium. RNAcentral describes it as "bacterial SSU rRNA". It matches the Rfam family "Bacterial small subunit ribosomal RNA", at positions 338 to 916 of the family's 1533-position model. The record is from RNAcentral.
CCUACGGGAGGCAGCAGUGGGGAAUAUUGCACAAUGGGCGGAAGCCUGAUGCAGCAACGCCGCGUGCGGGAUGACGGCCUUCGGGUUGUAAACCGCUUUCGCCUGUGACGAAGCGUGAGUGACGGUAAUGGGUAAAGAAGCACCGGCUAACUACGUGCCAGCAGCCGCGGUGAUACGUAGGGUGCGAGCGUUGUCCGGAUUUAUUGGGCGUAAAGGGCUCGUAGGUGGUUGAUCGCGUCGGAAGUGUAAUCUUGGGGCUUAACCCUGAGCGUGCUUUCGAUACGGGUUGACUUGAGGAAGGUAGGGGAGAAUGGAAUUCCUGGUGGAGCGGUGGAAUGCGCAGAUAUCAGGAGGAACACCAGUGGCGAAGGCGGUUCUCUGGGCCUUUCCUGACGCUGAGGAGCGAAAGCGUGGGGAGCGAACAGGCUUAGAUACCCUGGUAGUCCACGCUGUAAACGGUGGGUACUAGGUGUGGGGUCCAUUCCACGGGUUCCGUGCCGUAGCUAACGCUUUAAGUACCCGCCUGGGAGUACGGCCGCAAGGCUAAAACUCAAAUGAAUUGACGG